Gossypium arboreum is the source of this 521-nucleotide long non-coding RNA. RefSeq lists it as uncharacterized. Lineage: Eukaryota; Viridiplantae; Streptophyta; Magnoliopsida; Malvales; Malvaceae. The transcript has 2 exons. The record is from RefSeq and is a predicted model, not a curated record.
UGGAAAACCCACGUGAAAUUUGGUAUAAAAUUUUGAAAUUAUUGAUAUUUUCCACCUAUUAAUGAAAUUUCCACAUCAAAAUUUGUUUAAAGAAAAAACACGAUGUAGCAUUUCUAACCCAAUCAGCCAAACAUAAGCCAGGUAAAAAACAAGUCUUUCAUCGAUCGCAAGGUGAAUAAAAAAAAAAAAACCUUAGUUUCAGUGUGGGGAAAAAUUACAGAGGGAGAGUUCAAACUUGGUUCGAUCGAAAGGAGUUCUCAACAAUGGAUAGGAGAUUAUGGAGAUAGAAGGGAAAAUCCAAGGCGACGAAUGUUUCCUCUCAUCGCUAUUGUGUCACCACUGCACCAGAGAAGCGAGAAUAAGCAAAGAAAAUUUUCCCCAAUUUUUAGGGUUCUUCAUUUAUAAAUAAAAGAAAGUAGUGACUAAAAUGAUAAUGGUUUAGUUAUAUGUAUAAAUUCUGAUGUGAAAAUUUCAUUAGUAGGUAGAAAUUAUUAAUAAUAUCAUAAUUUUAUAUCAUCAAA